Myxocyprinus asiaticus (Chinese sucker) is the source of this 3800-nucleotide long non-coding RNA. RefSeq lists it as uncharacterized. The record is from RefSeq and is a predicted model, not a curated record. The transcript is spliced from 4 exons. Lineage: Eukaryota; Metazoa; Chordata; Actinopteri; Cypriniformes; Catostomidae.
GAUAAGUUUCUGUCGCUUCUAACUUUUUUUCUGAGUGAUUGAUAGAUUUAGGAAUUAAUAGGGUAUUACAGUAUGUACGGUAAACUAUGCAAAAUUCAAAUGAGACGCGAUGACGUCACAAAUAUGCUAAUGAGCGAAUGCCGUCAUCUAGCGACUUUCCGAGCAGGCAUUAGCUACUUUCCAUUGAAACUAGUUUGAAACACUGCGCACCAUUAGACACACCACUGAUCAGCCAGACUGUAUUUACAAGCAUGUCUGUGCCAUCGCGCUACAGCCUGUCACCUUUGUAAAGUUAAAAUAAUAACUUGACACGCCAAUCUCAACACCAAAGACCACUGACAGAAUGGAAACCUACCUCGGAGAUAUCAUACUUGAAUGUCUAUUGAGGCCUCUGCGAAGAGUCUGGAGAAUCCUGAGCUGCUGCUGUUUUUCUGGCAACUCUGAAAAACUUUCAGUAGAGGAAACAUCUCCAAUAUACCAUGUCCCAAGCUCCGUCCGUCCAUUUUUGGAGAAUUAUGGAGAUGUUAAUGGAGUUUAGUUCAUCUGAUUAGUUUAGCCUAAAUGCAGAAUUGUGGGACUUUGUUUUCAGUUUGUAAAAGAAGCACUUUUGAGAAGAUGGAUCCACUUCUCUUUCACUCAAAAUUAUCGUCGAUCCAGUCCCCAUAUGUCCGUCCCUGAGCCAGACUCACAACAGAAGUGGGUUUCAAGAGGACAAGCACUGUUAGCGAGUUCUGCGGUGGAACGUCUUCUCAACUGCCUUCAAGACAGCAACCCAGUAGUGUGCCCCCAACUCUGGGACAGGUUGCACCAGCUAUGCUUAUGUUACAACUUAGACUAGUUACAGCAUGAAUGGGCACAAAGUUACAAUUUACACACUUCUAAAUGUUUAAGCGUUGCACCCUUAUGCUUAGCCUAAGUAUAACCUAUAUAUAAACUAAAUAUUUACCGAAGACACCAACUACGAAUAACAGUUCGAAUAAAAAAGCAAACUGAUUGAAUGACAUGUUUUGCAUGACAUACACUCACUGAGCACUUUAUUAGGAACACUAUUGUCCUAAUAAAUUGCCCGACAUGGUCUUCUGCUGUUGUAGCCCAUCCGCCUCAAGGUCCAACUUGUUGUGCAUUCUGAGAUGCUAUUCUGCUCACUACAGUUGUACAGAACGGUUAUCUGAGUUACUGUAGACUUUGUCAGUUCGAACCAGGUGCCAUUCUCUGUUGACCUCUCUCAUCAACAAGGCGUUUCUGACCGCAGAACUGCCGCUCACUGGAUGUUUUUUGUUUUUGGCACCAUUCUGAGACUGUUGCAUGUGAAAAUCCCAGGAGAUCAGCAGCUACAGAAAUACUCAAACCAGCCCAUCUGGCACCAACAAUCAUGCCACGGUCAAAAUUAACUGAAGCUCCUGACCCGUAUCUGCAUGAUUUUAUGUACUGCACUGCUGCCACACUAUUGGCUGAUUAGAUAAUCGCAUAAGUACACUAGGUGUACAAGUGCUCCUAAUAAAGUGCCCAGUGAGUGUAUGGUCGUUCCAAUCGACCGAUAGUACCAUGCAAAGUAGAUUUCACAUGUUAUUUAGCCAUCUUAAGUGAGAUUCUGAUCCGAAAGGGAGCACAGGGCACUCCAAACGGCAUAGGGAAUAAGGGUACGUCGAUACAAAACUUCACAGGAAGUGAAGCCAUCCGAGUACUGACAGACGUUUGCUAAAAUAAAGCCAAAGUAAUUUGAAGCGUUUGUAUUCAGCAUAAUUUACCUCAGGUGUGCACUUUCCGUUGCUGUCACUGGAAUGCCAAGUUUCAAAAGAAACAAAAUAUGUAUAGGAUAGUAAAAGGAACAAAUGUCAAUUAGUGUUAAUAUUUAUUCGUUGCCCUUAUUUAUACACUUCCUAAAUAUUUGUGUUAUUAUUUACAUAAAUAUUUAGAUUAAAGGCUACUAUUUUUUAUAUUUAACCUAGAGAUUUUUUGUGUAUUGUAUUUAAAUUAAACUGUAAAUUGUUGCCGUCAACCUUGGCAAGAUAACCCAUGGCCUUUCAACACUUCUGUUUACAAAUUUGAAGGCUGCUUAUUGGAUCAGUAAAGGUAAACGUCAUAUUAUGCGAUUAUACAUUGCUUUAUGGAGAGCUUACGCUAAGUAUUGCAUUAAGAACAGGUGGUGCAACCAAAUAAAGCACUGAAUUGGUUACAAACUAACUAGUAGUCACUAAGCCCACGGUUUGAACUUCACGCCCCAACUUAAACGAGACCUUCCGCACAGCUGGUGUAGCCCUACCCUGGAGGCUGCUCCCCUGGAUGCACAAGUAGUGCCUGUCUUCCCUUUGUGCCACAGCUGUCCCUCCCAGAGGUGGAUACAGCACACUCCUUAAAUGAACACAACUCUUGUAAUCUGGGCCCAACAUACAAUUUAGAUUUAAGUUGGGUCAGCAUGAUCACAAGAGAUGCUGGCAUGUUGUUUGUGAAAGUUCUGAAUGCAGACUCACCGACAAGCAGCAUCUCCGAUCAGACAUUUUUGCAUCAGCUCCAGGGUAUUUACCUUCCCUUGUGGUGUGACUGGAAGCGUGUUGUAUCAGCAGCGUUGGAGACCAUCACAUCAUUCAUCACAGUGGAAAUUGGAGAUCAAGUAAAGCACAUUGCAUUCGGGGAUACUGUACCCAGCACAGUAUAUGCACUGUUUUCUAGAAAUCUUGACAAACGUAGUAGGUCAUCUCAGUACUAUGCACAGUAUAGGUACUAUAUACUGCAGAAAUGGUAGUUUAUUAGCCAAAAUGUCUUUGAUACAUUUCAGUUUUGUUUUAGAGCUAGCCACAGCACCCUCAGGAUAAAUAAUGAUUUAUUGCAGGCAAUAAAUUAUUGCUAGUUAUUGGAUCUUGAGGCUGCAUUUUUUUAUACUGCUGGUUGCCUUAACUGUCUUAGGCAGAGAGGCCUGGCAUUCAGGGCAUGGUGCUUUACUUCCUACCUGAAUGAUACAAGUGUUCCUGUAGCUCAACUGGUAGUGCAUGGUGCUAGCAACGCCAAGAUCAUGGGUUUGAUUCCCAUGAAUCACACAAACUGGUACACUGUAUGCCUUGAAUGCACUAUUAAGUCGCUCUGGAUAAAAUGUCAUGUAUCACAUUUUAUUAUUUUUUGGUACCAAUAAUAUAAUUUCUUAUAUUUUUUAUUGUAUUUGAAUUGUUAUACUGAUGAUACACAGCUGUACUGUCUACUAAACAUCAUUGACAUCCUUUUUGAUUGACCGACCACUGUCCGUUCUACCUAAACUGUCAACAUGUUCAAAACUCGCCUUAAGACCUUCUAACUUUUGCAAUAUAUUUAUCCAUGUUUAGUGUUGCUUAUCUUGUGUUUUUUUUCCUUUUGUUGGAUAUUAAAGUUGUUGAAGCUAUUGAUCAUUUAAUACAAAUUUCCUGUAUUUCUUUUAUUUUAUUUUUUUACUUUUCAUAAAAGCUAAACUAACUUCUUUUCUUAGAGCACUUAACCCUACACUCUUAAGAAAAAAUGUUGUACUCUAAUCUCUAUCUUGACUCAAACUUUUCUAAUACAAUAGAAAAUUUGUAUUGCAGCACUUUUAUGUUACUGUUUCCUUAAAAUGAAUCAUUGAUUCGCUUUGGAUGAAAGCGUUGGCUAAAUGAAUAAAUGUACAUUUUCUCCAAAGUAAUCUCUCAGGACUCAAGGAAAAUUGUGGAAACCAUAAUACAAUUUACCUUUGUCGAUAGAUGGAUGUAUUAUAUUGAUCGUUCAACGGAAAUUCCAAAUGUCCUACUUUCACAAUAAAGAUUCAGUGAGUUAUGGAAGUGUAUCACUUUCCAAAAACA